This 253-nucleotide ribosomal RNA is filed under the name uncultured bacterium. RNAcentral describes it as "partial 16S ribosomal RNA". It matches the Rfam family "Bacterial small subunit ribosomal RNA", at positions 524 to 776 of the family's 1533-position model. The record is from RNAcentral.
UACGGGGGGGGCAAGCGUUGUUCGGAAUUACUGGGCGUAAAGAGCUCGUAGGUGGCCAACUAAGUCGGACGUGAAAUCCCUCAGCUUAACUGGGGAACUGCGUCCGAUACUGGAUGGCUUGAGUUUGGGAGAGGGAUGCGGAAUUCCAGGUGUAGCGGUGAAAUGCGUAGAUAUCUGGAGGAACACCGGUGGCGAAGGCGGCAUCCUGGACCAACACUGACACUGAGGAGCGAAAGCCAGGGGAGCAAACGGG